AUUACUAAACCCACUUCUUCCCCUCUCUCUUCAUCUUUUCUAAAAAGAUUACCCCCUUAAUAACCACACACAAUUUGGGGCUGCAGGGGAUCAGGUGCUGAUCUCCGGUCAACUAAAUGGCGACUUCCGGUGGCCGCCGAAUGGGUUUGCUUUGGCCCCAUUUGGUCGUGGCUGUAGCCUUGGCUAUCUUUGCAUCCAAUGUGGGUUCUGUGGCUGGUGAUGCUGCCUACGUUUACUCCUCUCCUCCUCCUCCGUAUGAGUACAAAUCGCCGCCACCUCCUUCCCCGUCACCUCCUCCUCCUUACGUUUACAAGUCGCCGCCACCACCUUCACCGUCCCCUCCGCCACCUUACGNNNNNNNNNNNNNNNNNNNCCCCGCACCCUGAGUAUGACAACUCUCCUCCCCCCCCAUCCCCGUCACCUCCCCCACCUUACGAGUACAAGUCUCCUCCUCCUCCUUCACCGUCACCACCGCCACCUUACGAGUACAAGUCUCCCCCUCCUCCUUCACCGUCACCACCGCCACCAUACGAGUAUAAGUCUCCCCCUCCUCCUUCACCGUCACCUCCGCCACCUUACGAAUACAAAUCUCCACCACCUCCAUCGCCGUCACCACCGCCACCAUACUACUACAAGUCGCCGCCGCCGCCUUCACCCUCUCCUCCUCCACCAUACUACUACAAAUCUCCACCACCUCCGUCUCCAUCGCCACCACCACCAUACCACUACUCUUCUCCACCACCACCUAAAAAAUCACCUCCACCACCGUAUUAUUACAAAUCUCCACCACCACCUUCGCCAUCUCCACCGCCACCUUAUCACUACUCUUCUCCACCGCCACCAAAGAAAUCACCUCCUCCGCCAUACUACUACAAAUCUCCACCACCACCUUCACCAUCUCCUCCACCACCUUACCACUACUCCUCUCCACCACCACCUAAGAAAUCACCUCCACCACCAUACUACUACAAGUCUCCACCACCACCUUCACCCUCUCCUCCACCACCGUACUACUAUAAGUCUCCGCCGCCACCAUCACCCUCUCCUCCGCCACCAUACUACUAUAAAUCCCCGCCGCCACCAUCCCCAUCUCCUCCACCACCGUACUACUACAAGUCCCCACCACCACCUUCACCGUCUCCACCACCACCAUACUACUACAAAUCUCCACCGCCGCCAUCACCAUCACCUCCCCCACCAUACUACUACAAAUCCCCACCACCACCCGCAAAAUCUCCCCCACCACCACCGUACUACUACAAGUCUCCGCCACCACCCAAGGCUUACCCUCCUCCUUACCACUACACAUCACCGCCGCCGCCGGCAGUCUAUCCCCAUGAGCUGACUAUCAAGGUUGUCGGAAAAGUGUAUUGCUAUAGAUGUUAUGACUGGGCUUACCCAACGAAGUCACACGACAAGAAGCAC
RNAcentral lists this long non-coding RNA (1425 nucleotides) under Linum usitatissimum (flax). RNAcentral's name for it is "long non-coding RNA (LUSI_LNC003129)". The record is from RNAcentral. Lineage: Eukaryota; Viridiplantae; Streptophyta; Magnoliopsida; Malpighiales; Linaceae.